UGAGGCAGGAGAAUUGCUUGAACCCGGGAGGCAGAGGUUGUGGUGAGCCGAGAUCACGCCAUUGCACUCCAGCCUGGGCAACAAGUGUGAAUCAUUCACACACUUUUUUUUUUCGCUCUGCCAUCCAAGCUGUAGUACAGUGGCGCAAUCUCGGCUCACUGCAAUCUCCACAUCCCAGGCUCAAGUGAUUCUCCUGCCUCAGCCUCCAAAGUAGCUAGGAUUACAGGCACCCACCACGAUGCCCAGC
RNAcentral lists this small RNA (247 nucleotides) under Theropithecus gelada (gelada). RNAcentral describes it as "Metazoan signal recognition particle RNA (ENSTGEG00000002188.1)". Lineage: Eukaryota; Metazoa; Chordata; Mammalia; Primates; Cercopithecidae. The record is from RNAcentral.